RNAcentral lists this ribosomal RNA (576 nucleotides) under uncultured bacterium. Its description in RNAcentral is "partial 16S ribosomal RNA". It matches the Rfam family "Bacterial small subunit ribosomal RNA", at positions 355 to 920 of the family's 1533-position model. The record is from RNAcentral.
UGGGGAAUUUUGGACAAUGGGCGAAAGCCUGAUCCAGCAAUGCCGCGUGUGUGAAGAAGGCCUUCGGGUUGUAAAGCACUUUUGUCCGGAAAGAAAUCCUUGGCUCUAAUACAGUCGGGGGAUGACGGUACCGGAAGAAUAAGCACCGGCUAACUACGUGCCAGCAGCCGCGGUAAUACGUAGGGUGCAAGCGUUAAUCGGAAUUACUGGGCGUAAAGCGUGCGCAGGCGGUUUGCUAAGACCGAUGUGAAAUCCCCGGGGCUCAACCUGGGAACUGCAUUGGUGACUGGCAGGCUAGAGUAUGGCAGAGGGGGGUAGAAUUCCACGUGUAGCAGUGAAAUGCGUAGAGAUGUGGAGGAAUACCGAUGGCGAAGGCAGCCCCCUGGGCCAAUACUGACGCUCAUGCACGAAAGCGUGGGGAGCAAACAGGAUUAGAUACCCUGGUAGUCCACGCCCUAAAACGAUGUCAACUAGUUGUUGGGGAUUCAUUUCCUUAGUAACGUAGCUAACGCGUGAAGUUGACCGCCUGGGGGAGUACGGUCGCAAGAUUAAAAACUUAAAGGAAUUGACGGGGUC